RNAcentral lists this ribosomal RNA (2908 nucleotides) under Salmonella enterica subsp. enterica. Its description in RNAcentral is "23S ribosomal RNA". It matches the Rfam family "Bacterial large subunit ribosomal RNA". Lineage: Bacteria; Pseudomonadati; Pseudomonadota; Gammaproteobacteria; Enterobacterales; Enterobacteriaceae. RNAcentral also lists the same sequence under 2 other names. The record is from RNAcentral.
GGUUAAGCGACUAAGCGUACACGGUGGAUGCCCUGGCAGUCAGAGGCGAUGAAGGACGUGCUAAUCUGCGAUAAGCGCCGGUAAGGUGAUAUGAACCGUUAUAACCGGCGAUUUCCGAAUGGGGAAACCCAGUGUGAUUCGUCACACUAUCAUUAACUGAAUCCAUAGGUUAAUGAGGCGAACCGGGGGAACUGAAACAUCUAAGUACCCCGAGGAAAAGAAAUCAACCGAGAUUCCCCCAGUAGCGGCGAGCGAACGGGGAGGAGCCCAGAGCCUGAAUCAGCAUGUGUGUUAGUGGAAGCGUCUGGAAAGGCGCGCGAUACAGGGUGACAGCCCCGUACACAAAAGCGCAUGUGCUGUGAGCUCGAUGAGUAGGGCGGGACACGUGGUAUCCUGUCUGAAUAUGGGGGGACCAUCCUCCAAGGCUAAAUACUCCUGACUGACCGAUAGUGAACCAGUACCGUGAGGGAAAGGCGAAAAGAACCCCGGCGAGGGGAGUGAAAAAGAACCUGAAACCGUGUACGUACAAGCAGUGGGAGCACAGGUUUACCUGUGUGACUGCGUACCUUUUGUAUAAUGGGUCAGCGACUUAUAUUCUGUAGCAAGGUUAACCGUAUAGGGGAGCCGUAGGGAAACCGAGUCUUAACCGGGCGUUAAGUUGCAGGGUAUAGACCCGAAACCCGGUGAUCUAGCCAUGGGCAGGUUGAAGGUUGGGUAACACUAACUGGAGGACCGAACCGACUAAUGUUGAAAAAUUAGCGGAUGACCUGUGGCUGGGGGUGAAAGGCCAAUCAAACCGGGAGAUAGCUGGUUCUCCCCGAAAGCUAUUUAGGUAGCGCCUCGUGAAUUCAUCUCCGGGGGUAGAGCACUGUUUCGGCUAGGGGGCCAUCCCGGCUUACCAACCCGAUGCAAACUGCGAAUACCGGAGAAUGUUAUCACGGGAGACACACGGCGGGUGCUAACGUCCGUCGUGAAGAGGGAAACAACCCAGACCGCCAGCUAAGGUCCCAAAGUCAUGGUUAAGUGGGAAACGAUGUGGGAAGGCCCAGACAGCCAGGAUGUUGGCUUAGAAGCAGCCAUCAUUUAAAGAAAGCGUAAUAGCUCACUGGUCGAGUCGGCCUGCGCGGAAGAUGUAACGGGGCUAAACCAUGCACCGAAGCUGCGGCAGCGACGCUGAUGCGUUGUUGGGUAGGGGAGCGUUCUGUAAGCCUGCGAAGGUGACCUGUGAGGGUUGCUGGAGGUAUCAGAAGUGCGAAUGCUGACAUAAGUAACGAUAAAGCGGGUGAAAAGCCCGCUCGCCGGAAGACCAAGGGUUCCUGUCCAACGUUAAUCGGGGCAGGGUGAGUCGACCCCUAAGGCGAGGCCGAAAGGCGUAGUCGAUGGGAAACGGGUUAAUAUUCCCGUACUUGGUGUUACUGCGAAGGGGGGACGGAGAAGGCUAUGUUGGCCGGGCGACGGUUGUCCCGGUUUAAGCGUGUAGGUGUGUGUUCCAGGUAAAUCCGGUUCACUUUAACACUGAGGCGUGAUGACGAGGCACUACGGUGCUGAAGCAACAAAUGCCCUGCUUCCAGGAAAAGCCUCUAAGCAUCAGGUAACAUCAAAUCGUACCCCAAACCGACACAGGUGGUCAGGUAGAGAAUACCAAGGCGCUUGAGAGAACUCGGGUGAAGGAACUAGGCAAAAUGGUGCCGUAACUUCGGGAGAAGGCACGCUGACACGUAGGUGAAGUGAUUUACUCACGGAGCUGAAGUCAGUCGAAGAUACCAGCUGGCUGCAACUGUUUAUUAAAAACACAGCACUGUGCAAACACGAAAGUGGACGUAUACGGUGUGACGCCUGCCCGGUGCCGGAAGGUUAAUUGAUGGGGUCAGCGCAAGCGAAGCUCCUGAUCGAAGCCCCGGUAAACGGCGGCCGUAACUAUAACGGUCCUAAGGUAGCGAAAUUCCUUGUCGGGUAAGUUCCGACCUGCACGAAUGGCGUAAUGAUGGCCAGGCUGUCUCCACCCGAGACUCAGUGAAAUUGAACUCGCUGUGAAGAUGCAGUGUACCCGCGGCAAGACGGAAAGACCCCGUGAACCUUUACUAUAGCUUGACACUGAACAUUGAGCCUUGAUGUGUAGGAUAGGUGGGAGGCUUUGAAGUGUGGACGCCAGUCUGCAUGGAGCCGACCUUGAAAUACCACCCUUUAAUGUUUGAUGUUCUAACGUGGACCCGUAAUCCGGGUUGCGGACAGUGUCUGGUGGGUAGUUUGACUGGGGCGGUCUCCUCCUAAAGAGUAACGGAGGAGCACGAAGGUUGGCUAAUCCUGGUCGGACAUCAGGAGGUUAGUGCAAUGGCAUAAGCCAGCUUGACUGCGAGCGUGACGGCGCGAGCAGGUGCGAAAGCAGGUCAUAGUGAUCCGGUGGUUCUGAAUGGAAGGGCCAUCGCUCAACGGAUAAAAGGUACUCCGGGGAUAACAGGCUGAUACCGCCCAAGAGUUCAUAUCGACGGCGGUGUUUGGCACCUCGAUGUCGGCUCAUCACAUCCUGGGGCUGAAGUAGGUCCCAAGGGUAUGGCUGUUCGCCAUUUAAAGUGGUACGCGAGCUGGGUUUAGAACGUCGUGAGACAGUUCGGUCCCUAUCUGCCGUGGGCGCUGGAGAACUGAGGGGGGCUGCUCCUAGUACGAGAGGACCGGAGUGGACGCAUCACUGGUGUUCGGGUUGUCAUGCCAAUGGCACUGCCCGGUAGCUAAAUGCGGAAGAGAUAAGUGCUGAAAGCAUCUAAGCACGAAACUUGCCCCGAGAUGAGUUCUCCCUGAGACUUAGAGUCUCCUGAAGGAACGUUGAAGACGACGACGUUGAUAGGCCGGGUGUGUAAGCGCAGCGAUGCGUUGAGCUAACCGGUACUAAUGAACCGUGAGGCUUAACCUU